AUACUUACCUGGCAGGGGAGGUGCUGUGGUGUUGAAGGUGGUUCUCCCAGGGCGAGGCCCACUCCUGCACCCUGCGUGUGCCGGCCCCUGCGAUUUCCCCAACCGUGGGAAAGUCGGCUGCAUAAUUUGUGGUAGUGGGAGACUGCGUUUGCUCUUUCCCCUA
Pteronotus mesoamericanus is the source of this 163-nucleotide small nuclear RNA. RefSeq annotates it as U1 spliceosomal RNA. Lineage: Eukaryota; Metazoa; Chordata; Mammalia; Chiroptera; Mormoopidae. The transcript has a single exon. The record is from RefSeq and is a predicted model, not a curated record.